RNAcentral lists this long non-coding RNA (1165 nucleotides) under Mytilus galloprovincialis (Mediterranean mussel). Lineage: Eukaryota; Metazoa; Mollusca; Bivalvia; Mytilida; Mytilidae. The record is from RNAcentral.
UUUAUUUGUAUAUAUAUUUCUAGUUGAUCAUAUAAAUUCAUUUAAAGCAUAAAAGACAAGUUAAAAGAGCAACGGGCAUAUCAUGCGCUAAAGCGCAGCCCUUUAUUUUAAUUUUGUUUUGAAUUCAAAAUAUUUUUUAACACAAGCUUUUCUUCUUCCAAUCAAUGAUUUGAAGUUAUUUACAGCAAAGUUGAAUUUUUUUCAACACUAACUGAAGUUUGUAAAUAUUUCCCUUUUUAUGUCUGUAUAGUCUGUGCGUCUGUUCUUCCCACUUCAGGGUAAUGUUUUUGGUCAAGGUAGAUUUUAUGAAGUUGAAGACAAUCAACUUGAAACUUAGUACACAUAUUCCCUAUGAUAUGAUCUUUCUUAUUUCAAUUCCAAAUGAUAGUUUUGGCCUAAAUUUCACUGUUCACUAAGCAUAGAAAAUGGUAGUGCGGGUGGGGCAUCCAUGUAAUAUGUACACAUUCUUGUUUAUAAUAUUUUUAUUAUCAUAUUAAACACAAUUAUUACUUUACUAUGUACUUGUUUGGCAAUAUAACUAUUUUGAUCUGAGUGUCUGAACUAUUAACCAGUUAUAUUGCAUAUAAGUUUGAUAUGAUUUUUAUACGACCGCAAAAAUUUUAAUUUUUCGUCGUAUAUUGUUUGUUUUGAAUUCAUAUAGUGUACAAGAGUCAUUUUCAAAUUCAAAUGGCAUUUUCAUCCUGUCACAUCACUCAAAGGUUGUAAACUGUUGGCUUUUAUUUUAUCGUAAUUCUUUCAAAAGCGUUAGCAUAUUUAAUUAAUAUAUUAGAGCAUUUGAUUAUAUAAUAUAUAUAUAUAUAUGUGCAUAUCAUCAGUAAUAUAAGUUAUAAUUUUCUCUUUAAACCCUUUGUGUAAAUUCAAAUUCAACUUUACCUUUUUUUAUCCUUUCGUCAUGCUUGCUAUUAAAGUGAAUGGUUCUAACUUUUCCCUUGUUACUAAAACAUGAGCUUAUAAAGAUGCAUAGACUUCUGUAAAAUGAUUUGUAUACCUAUUUUUUCUGAUUAGAGAUUUUUGUCAGUGUACACACAUUGUAAAUAUUUUUUUACUGGUUUUUAUGUUUAAAAAGAGACUAUGGUGAGUUCUUUUUAAACUUGCUAAUUUUUAUUAAUAUGAAGCUGAUUGUGAUUUUGUAAGUAUCUUGUAU